CACAGAUGAUGAACUUAUUGACGGGCGGACAGAAACUGUGUGCUGAUUGUCAGUGUUCUGAUUUG
Callithrix jacchus (white-tufted-ear marmoset) is the source of this 65-nucleotide small nucleolar RNA. Ensembl annotates it as small nucleolar RNA, C/D box 43. Its record names the gene SNORD43. The record is from Ensembl. Lineage: Eukaryota; Metazoa; Chordata; Mammalia; Primates; Cebidae.